Long non-coding RNA from Odocoileus virginianus texanus, 881 nucleotides. RefSeq lists it as uncharacterized. The record is from RefSeq and is a predicted model, not a curated record. Lineage: Eukaryota; Metazoa; Chordata; Mammalia; Artiodactyla; Cervidae.
AGCAACAAGGUGGGACGUCUGUGAGUCGGCGAACUUUGAAAGGAAGCAGUGGCUUGGGAUCUUGUAUAGUUACAGAGCUUGUCUUAUCUGUGGUUGGAAGAUGGUUCCAUAUGGUGCAGUUUCACAGGACCUGUGGAAUAUAACAGAAGUAAAUGUAUAAAGAGAAGUAUCUGGAAGGGAGAAAGAAAAGCAGUAAUACAAGCACCCAUAAGCCCACCAGUAAGGACUUCAAGCCCUGGAAACAGCAUCACAAAUGACCCUGGGAGAACUGCUCCAAGGAGUUUUGAUGUUGGACAUGCCACGCAGCACAGGGCUGCAUCCGGACCUCUGGCCUUGCAUCUGGACAUCGUGACACUGGAUGAGUCCACAUGGGGUAUGACAGAGGAGCCCCAGGAGCCAGAACACCACCAGGACAGUCCUUACUAACUCAGCUCUACAAGGGAGUGACUCCGAACCACAUGUACAUGUUCCAUGAAAACCAAACUAAGUGUAUCACCAACUUAACAUCCCCUUAGCUUGGCCCCAAAAGUACUCAUGGCCUCUCCUCCACCACCGGAUGUGAUGGGAAGCAUGCAAAUGGAAUGUCAAUAGAAAGACCCAGCCUUAACUGAUUGGCAGUGAAAAUACCUCACUUUUGAAAAUUUCACAAAAACAUAAGGUUACACACCCCUAUCAGAACCCCUUCUAGAGCCUCAGGGGGACCUGUGCAAAUGAGACACCCUGAAGCUUCGAUGUCAUCAGCCACUUGUUAGCUUCACCUCUGGGCUCAAGGAAGGGCAGGUAUUGCUUUUAUCAGGUUCAAAGGGAAUAAAGAGACAGUCAAGGCCUUGGGCUACUCUCUGUAGCUUGCAUUUUCCAGUUCUUUUGAUAAAAAAUAGAUU